AACGAACGCUGGCGGCAUGCCUAACACAUGCAAGUCGAACGAUUGCCUUCGGGUGAUAGUGGCGCACGGGUGCGUAACGCGUGGGAAUCUGCCCUUAGGUUCGGAAUAACAGCUGGAAACGGCUGCUAAUACCGGAUGAUAUCGCGAGAUCAAAGAUUUAUCGCCUGAGGAUGAGCCCGCGUUGGAUUAGGUAGUUGGUGGGGUAAAGGCCUACCAAGCCGACGAUCCAUAGCUGGUCUGAGAGGAUGAUCAGCCACACUGGGACUGAGACACGGCCCAGGCUCCUACGGGAGGCAGCAGUGGGGAAUAUUGGACAAUGGGCGCAAGCCUGAUCCAGCAAUGCCGCGUGAGUGAUGAAGGCCCUAGGGUUGUAAAGCUCUUUUACCCGGGAAGAUAAUGACUGUACCGGGAGAAUAAGCCCCGGCUAACUCCGUG
Molecule: ribosomal RNA, 435 nt
Filed under: uncultured bacterium
Lineage: Bacteria
Description: partial 16S ribosomal RNA
Rfam family: Bacterial small subunit ribosomal RNA
Source: RNAcentral